AAUCAACGCUGGCGGCGUGCCUCAGACAUGCAAGUCGAACGAUUAAAGCUCUCUUCGGAGAGUGUAUAGAGUGGCGCACGGGUGAGUAACGACGUAAGUAAUCUACCUUUGAGUGGGGAAUAACAAUCGGAAACGAUUGCUAAUACCGCAUAAUGCAGCGGCAUCGCAAGAUGACAGUUGUUAAAGGAGCAAUCCGCUUAAAGAGGAGCUUGCGGCAGAUUAGCUAGUUGGUAAGGUAAUGGCUUACCAAGGCUACGAUCUGUAACCGGUCUAAGAGGACGGUCGGUCACACUGACACUGAAUAACGGGUCAGACUCCUACGGGAGGCAGCAGUCGGGAAUUUUGGGCAAUGGGCGAAAGCCUGACCCAGCAACGCCGCGUGAAGGAUGAAGUAUUUCGGUAUGUAAACUUCGAAAGAAUGGGAAGAAUCAAUGACGGUA
RNAcentral lists this ribosomal RNA (440 nucleotides) under uncultured bacterium. RNAcentral's name for it is "bacterial SSU rRNA". It matches the Rfam family "Bacterial small subunit ribosomal RNA", at positions 32 to 477 of the family's 1533-position model. The record is from RNAcentral.